UAUCGGGUCUACCACCCUGAACGCGCCCGAUCUCGUCUGAUCUCGGAAGCUAAGCAGGGUCGGGCCCGGUUAGUACUUGGAUGGGAGACCGCCUGGGAAUACCGGGUGCUAAGAAAA
RNAcentral lists this ribosomal RNA (117 nucleotides) under Capra hircus (goat). The record is from RNAcentral. Lineage: Eukaryota; Metazoa; Chordata; Mammalia; Artiodactyla; Bovidae.